CCUAUGGUAAACAACACUCGCUUGAUCUCCUAUGGUAAACAACACUUAAGUGGUCACCAGUUCCUACAAUAUAGUGGUCAAAAAGUUUGCAACCUUACAGAAAAGAUUCGAAAGGGAGUUAAACAAAAUCAAGGCUACUUCCAAUGGGCCAAAUAGCA
Molecule: unclassified non-coding RNA, 158 nt
Filed under: Homarus americanus (American lobster)
Lineage: Eukaryota; Metazoa; Arthropoda; Malacostraca; Decapoda; Nephropidae
Description: uncharacterized LOC121856254, transcript variant X2
Source: RNAcentral